Molecule: ribosomal RNA, 496 nt
Filed under: uncultured bacterium
Lineage: Bacteria
Description: partial 16S ribosomal RNA
Rfam family: Bacterial small subunit ribosomal RNA
Source: RNAcentral
AUGCACGCUGGCGGCGUGCCUAAUCCAUGCCAGUCGAGCGAACGGACGAGAAGCUUGCUUCUCUGAUAUUAGCGGCGGACGGGUGAGUAACACGUGGAUAACCUACCUAUAAGACUGGGAUAACUUCGGGAAACCGGAGCUAAUACCGGAUAAUAUUUUGAACCGCAUGGUUCAAAAGUGAAAGACGGUCUUGCUGUCACUUAUAGAUGGAUCCGCGCUGCAUUAGCUAGUUGGUAAGGUAACGGCUUACCAAGGCAACGAUGCAUAGCCGACCUGAGAGGGUGAUCGGCCACACUGGAACUGAGACACGGUCCAGACUCCUACGGGAGGCAGCAGUAGGGAAUCUUCCGCAAUGGGCGAAAGCCUGACGGAGCAACGCCGCGUGAGUGAUGAAGGUCUUCGGAUCGUAAAACUCUGUUAUUAGGGAAGAACAUAUGUGUAAGUAACUGUGCACAUCUUGACGGUACCUAAUCAGAAAGCCACGGCUAACUACGUG